This 253-nucleotide ribosomal RNA is filed under the name uncultured bacterium. RNAcentral's name for it is "partial 16S ribosomal RNA". It matches the Rfam family "Bacterial small subunit ribosomal RNA", at positions 524 to 776 of the family's 1533-position model. The record is from RNAcentral.
UACGUAGGGUGCAAGCGCUGUCCGGAAUUAUUGGGCGUAAAGAGCUCGUAGGCGGUCUGUCGCGUCGGAUGUGAAAACCCAUGGCUCAACUGUGGGCUUGCAGCCGAUACGGGCGGGCUAGAGUUCGGUAGGGGAGACUGGAAUUCCUGGUGUAGCGGUGAAAUGCGCAGAUAUCAGGAGGAACACCGGUGGCGAAGGCGGGUCUCUGGGCCGAUACUGACGCUGAGGAGCGAAAGCGUGGGGAGCGAACAGG